AACGAACGCUGGCGGCAUGCCUAACACAUGCAAGUCGAACGAGACCUUCGGGUCUAGUGGCGCACGGGUGCGUAACGCGUGGGAACCUGCCCUUAGGUUCGGAAUAACUCCCCGAAAGGGGUGCUAAUACCGGAUAAUGUCUUCGGACCAAAGAUUUAUCGCCUUUGGAUGGGCCCGCGUUGGAUUAGCUAGUUGGUAGGGUAAAAGCCUACCAAGGCGACGAUCCAUAGCUGGUCUGAGAGGAUGAUCAGCCACACUGGGACUGAGACACGGCCCAGACCUCUACGGGAGGCAGCAGUGGGGAAUACUGGACAAUGGGCGAAAGCCUGAUCCAGCAAUGCCGCGUGAGUGAUGAAGGCCUUAGGGUUGUAAAGCUCUUUUACCCGGGAUGAUAAUGACAGUACCGGGAGAAUAAGCUCCGGCUAACUCCGUG
RNAcentral lists this ribosomal RNA (433 nucleotides) under uncultured bacterium. Its description in RNAcentral is "partial 16S ribosomal RNA". It matches the Rfam family "Bacterial small subunit ribosomal RNA", at positions 29 to 507 of the family's 1533-position model. The record is from RNAcentral.